Molecule: RNA transcript, 3126 nt
Organism: Abrus precatorius (Indian licorice)
Lineage: Eukaryota; Viridiplantae; Streptophyta; Magnoliopsida; Fabales; Fabaceae
Gene name: protein ENHANCED DISEASE RESISTANCE 2-like
Exons: 22
Source: RefSeq, a predicted model, not a curated record
GGCAAAAUGAUAAUGAAAUAAGGGUGCAGAGUCUGACAAUUGAGAAGGAUCAUUCACAUCAGCGUGUGUGGUGUGUAGUGUAGCAGGCCAGACAGCUCCAUAGCAUAAAGCGUGUGAUGGACGCAGUCGCAGCAGGUUCGGUGCUGAACAAGUCCGGAAGCGGAGGUUCGGAGCGCAGCGACGAUAACGGCAGAGGGAUAUUUGAGUACUUCGGUUGGGUUUACCACUUAGGAGUCAACUCCAUUGGCCAUGAGUACUGUCAUCUCCGUUUCCUUUUUAUUAGGGGAAAGUAUGUCGCCAUGUACAAGCGUGAUCCUCACGAAUACCCUGCCGUUAAACCCAUCAGGCAGGGAGUUGUGGGGCCCACACUUAUGGUGGAGGAGCUAGGUCGUCGAAAGGUCAACGAUGGGGAUCUUUAUGUUUUAAGGUUUUACAAUCGGUUAGAUGAGACUAAAAAGGGAGAAAUUGCUUGUGCUACAGCUGGGGAAGCUCGGGGAUGGAUGGAAGCAUUUGAUCAUGCUAAGCAACAGGCUGAGUAUGAGCUGUCAAGAGGAGGUAGUGCAAGAGACAAACUAAACAUGGAGGCCGAGAUCAAUCUUGAAGGACAUCGGCCUAGAGUGAGACGGUAUGCCCAUGGGUUGAGGAAGCUUAUAAGAAUUGGCCAAGGCCCAGAGAUGCUGAUUCGGCAAUCAUCAAAGUUGGCAGCCACUAGGCCAGAUGGGUUUGAAGGUGACAGUGGAGAUGCAGUUGAAGCACAUCAAUGGAAAUGUGUUCUUACCAUGGCUGGUAUUAGAAUUUUUGAGGAUGUUUCUAAUCACAAGAAUGGCAAGGGUGUCCUUGCAAAGUCUGUUGGUGUUAUUGAUGCUACUGCAGAUACUGUUUUUGAAGUGCUUUUGAACACUGAACAACAAAAAAGAUAUGAGUGGGAUAUGUUGAUGUGUGACUUGGAGUUAGUAGAUUCUUAUGAUGGACACUAUGAUGUUGUUUAUGGGACAUAUGAUUCUAAGUAUCUAACCCGGUGGCACUCAAAGCAGGAUUUUGUCUUCUCUAGGCAAUGGUUUCGUGGGCAAGAUGGAACAUACACUAUUUUGCAAUUUCCAGCUAUACAUAAGAAAAAGCUUCAGAGAUCUGGAUAUCGACGUGCAAAAAUUAAUCCAUCUACUUGGGAGAUUAGAAAUUUGAAUACACCUAUGGCAUCAAAUAGCCCAAGAUGUCUAGUAACACACACGUUGGAGAUACACCCAGCAUCCUGGCAUCGAUGGAAGAACAACAAGUGCUCAAAAUUUGAGAGGAGCAUUCCUUAUGCAUUAUUGUGCCAAGUGGCAGGUCUGAAGGAAUACAUUGCAGCCAAUCCAGUACUCUACUGUGAAACUACCACCACAAUUGUUCAUUCCAAAAUCUCUGAUGCUUCCAUUUCCAGUACUGAAUAUGAGGAUGAAAUGAAGGAUGAGUUUUAUGAUGCAAUUGCUGCUGAUUCAUCAUCAUCAGAUGAAGAAAGUGAUGAUGAUGAUGAGAAACUUGAUCUGAAGGAGCCGAGAAUCAGACUAAAGAAUAUUUCAUGGGCAAUCACAACCUUAGCUCUGACGCGAACAGCAGCUCCUGAUCUAAGUGAGGAAUUGGACCCUCAUGUAACUCCUGUCACAAUUCCUAGUGACUUACAUGGUUCUUUGUGCAAAGGAAAGGACGAUAAUGACACAAACUGUUGGACUUCUCCUAACGGGAAAGGAUUUAUGAUUAGAGGAAAGAACUAUCUUAAAGAUAGUUCUAAGGUAGUUGGAGGAGAUCCUCUUCUCAGGCUUGUAGCAGUUGAUUGGUUUAAAGUUGAUAAAUCUAUAGAUAGAAUUUCACUGGACCCUAGAUGUUUGGUUCAGUCAGAGGCUGGGAAAAAGCUUCCAUUUAUCCUUGUCAUUAAUCUCCAGGUUCCUGCCAAACCAAACUAUAGUCUGGUUCUAUAUUAUGCAGCUGACAGACCGAUAAAUAAAAAUUCUCUAUUAGCUAAAUUUGUUGAUGGAAGUGAUGCGUUUCGGGACUCUAGAUUUAAACUUAUUCCAAGUAUAGUUGAGGGAUAUUGGAUGGUCAAGAGAGCUGUUGGAACCAAAGCUUGCCUCUUAGGGAAAGCUGUGACUUGUAAAUACUUUAGACAAGAUAAUUUUUUGGAGAUUGACGUGGACAUUGGAUCAUCCUCUGUAGCAAGGAGUGUCAUUGGCCUUGUCCUGGGAUAUGUUACAAGCCUAGUAGUUGACCUUGCCAUUUUGAUAGAGGUUUGUGCCGCCUUCUUUCCUUAUUCCUUUUGGUGCAGGCUUGAUAUUUGGCCAGAAUAAAAAGGCUAUCAUUUUAUGGAACUGUGCUAUUUAUACAAUUCUCCGUUGUAUUUGGUUGGGGAGGGAUGCUCAUGUUGUUUAAAGUAAAUUUUAGUUAAGAACAUGCGAAGAGGUUGGAUUUCUUAUCCUCACUAAUAAAUUUUCUCUCUUUCUAAAGUAUGGUCUUCUUUUAUCAAUUUCACAUACACACGGGCAUACUACUACGAUUUAUGCUAAAGAUGUCGUAGCCCCGUUUACAAUAACAUGAAUCACAUAUGAGUGACAGAGAGGUUUGCAAAACGGAAUAUUUCUAUAGAAGGAAGGCGGUGAGCUGAUUAUAUUAACAUCACUUUCAAACAGAAUAAGCAAUUAAAGGAAAAUACUUUGAGGUCUACUAGUUUCUUUUUAUCAGGAACAGCGAAGGAAUCUACUCCUCGACAUUUUUUUCUUACAUUGACUGCCAGUGCAUUCACUUCUAAAAAUUGAAAAGGCAAAAGAAGAGGCGGAGCUGCCAGAGUACAUUCUUGGAACUGUCCGAUUAAACCGUUUGAAACUUGAAUCGGCUGUAACAUUGGAGGUUUAAAGUAGAACUGCCAAUAAUAUUGCAUCACCUAGUUCCGUUCCAUUGUUAUGACUAAAAUUUACACCUGGGAUUCAAAUAAAAAAUAAUAAUCUGAAUGAGCUUUCUCAGAUAUUGUUCCUUAAUAGGUGACAAGGUUGUACAGGCCUUCCUUUCUUCUAGAAGAAAUGAAAUGCAAUAUUUAAGUCGCUGAGCAUCUAAAAACCUUUCUCUUCACUAUAUUUAUGACAACCAGGAAACCUCUUG